Blautia sp. CAG:237 is the source of this 294-nucleotide non-coding RNA. The record is from Rfam. NCBI's taxonomy places the organism in Bacteria, Bacillati, Bacillota, Clostridia, Lachnospirales, Lachnospiraceae.
CAGUCGAUCUGCUGCGGGCAGAUGAAGUGGAUAUGCGUAUCAAUACCGCCUGCUGUCACGAUCAUUCCUUCGCCUGCAAGAGCCUCGGUGGAAGCACCUACGGUCAUGCCCGGUGUCACACCGUCCAUCACGCUUGGGUUUCCUGCUUUACCGAUUCCUUUGAUCUUGCCAUCCUUGAUUCCGAUAUCGGCUUUGAUGAUCCCUGUGCUGUCUACGAUCAGGGCGUUUGUGAUAACAAGAUCCAGAUCACCGUCUGCGCUUGUUGUCUUAACGGACUGUCCCAUACCAUCACGG